This 130-nucleotide small nucleolar RNA is filed under the name Microcebus murinus (gray mouse lemur). Its description in RNAcentral is "Small nucleolar RNA SNORA48 (ENSMICG00000021618.3)". It matches the Rfam family "Small nucleolar RNA SNORA48". Rfam says of the family: The snoRNA ACA 48 has been identified to guide pseudouridylation of the residue U3797 in the 28S rRNA subunit. Its host gene EIF4A1 (eukaryotic translation initiation factor 4A1) is shared with U67 and snoRNA mgU6-77 The record is from Rfam by way of RNAcentral. Lineage: Eukaryota; Metazoa; Chordata; Mammalia; Primates; Cheirogaleidae.
UGACCCUUACUUGAGCGGCAUCUAGUAGGUGGUGCCCAUCUCACAACAGACAGGGACAAAGCAACCCUUUGUUUAUCCCAGCUUGGCUUUUGGUCUGUGCCCAUGCCUGGUUCAUGUCUUGGACACAUAG